CGCGGCCUAUCAGCUUGUUGGUGAGGUAACGGCUCACCAAGGCGACGACGGAUAGCUGGCCUGAGAGGGUGAACAGCCACACUGGGACUGAGAUACGGCCCAGACUCCUACGGGAGGCAGCAGUAGGGAAUAUUGCGCAAUGGGCGAAAGCCUGACGCAGCGACGCCGCGUGAGGGAUGAAGGCUUUCGGGUCGUAAACCUCUUUUGGCAGGGAAGAAGCGAAAGUGACGGUACCUGCAGAAUAAGCCCCGGCCAACUACGUGCCAGCAGCCGCGGUAAUACGUAGGGGGCGAGCGUUGUCCGGAUUCAUUGGGCGUAAAGAGCUCGUAGGCGGUUUGACAAGUCGGCGGUGAAAGCCUGGGACCCAACUCCGGGACGCCCGUCGAUACUGUCAUGACUCGAGUCCGGUAGAGGAGUGUGGAACUCCUGGUGUAGCGGUGAAGUGCGCAUAUAUCAGGAAGAACACCGGUGGCGAAGGCGGCACUCUGGGCCGGUACUGACGCUGAGGAGCGAAAGCUAGGGGAGCAAACAGGAUUAGAUACCCUGGUAGUCCUAGCCGUAAACGAUGGGCACUAGGUGUGGGGAGGUAUUGACCCUUUCCGCGCCGUAGCUAACGCAUUAAGUGUCCCGCCUGGGGAGUACGGA
Molecule: ribosomal RNA, 645 nt
Filed under: uncultured bacterium
Lineage: Bacteria
Description: bacterial SSU rRNA
Rfam family: Bacterial small subunit ribosomal RNA
Source: RNAcentral